This is a non-coding RNA of Onygenales sp. PD_40, 96 nucleotides long. Lineage: Eukaryota; Fungi; Ascomycota; Eurotiomycetes; Onygenales. The record is from the annotation of a GenBank genome assembly.
GGUCCUGUGGUCUAGUGGUAUGAUUCUCGCUUUGGGUUCAUCACAACUCAAACACUUGCCUGCGAGAGGCCCCGCGUUCGAAUCGCGGCAGGACCC